AACGAACGCUGGCGGCAUGCCUAACACAUGCAAGUCGAACGAUCCCUUCGGGGAUAGUGGCGCACGGGUGCGUAACGCGUGGGAACCUGCCCUUAGGUUCGGAAUAACUCAGAGAAAUUUGAGCUAAUACCGGAUAAUGUCUUCGGACCAAAGAUUUCUCGCCUUUGGGUGGGCCCGCGUUGGAUUAGCUAGUUGGUGGGGUAAAGGCCUACCAAGGCGACGAUCCAUAGCUGGUCUGAGAGGAUGACCAGCCACCCUGGGACUGAGACACGGCCCAGACUCCUACGAGAGGCAGCAGUGGGGAAUAGUGGACCAUGGGCGAAAGCCUGAUCCAUCAAUGCCGCGUGAGUGAUGAAGGCCUUAGGGUUGUAAAGCUCUUUUACCCGGGAUGAUAAUGACAGUACCGGGAGAAUAAGCCCCGGCUAACUCCGUG
This 433-nucleotide ribosomal RNA is filed under the name uncultured bacterium. Its description in RNAcentral is "partial 16S ribosomal RNA". It matches the Rfam family "Bacterial small subunit ribosomal RNA", at positions 29 to 507 of the family's 1533-position model. The record is from RNAcentral.